GAUGAACGCUGGCGGCGUGCCUAAUGCAUGCAAGUCGAGCGGCAACAGAUCCUUAUCUCUGAUAAGGGUGCUGGCGAGCGGCAAACGGGUGAGUAAUACAUGGGUAACCUACCCUGAAGAAGGGGAUACCCCACCGAAAGGUGGUUCAAUACCCUAUAAUCUUUAGAAAGGAAGCUUUUUAAAGUAAAGGUGGUAAGUCUACUUACUACCACUUCAGGAUGGGCUCAUGGCCUAUCAGCUAGUUGGUGAGUUAAAAGCCCACCAAGGCGAAGACGGGUAGCUGACCUGAGAGGGUGAUCAGCCACAUUGGGACUGAGACACGGCCCAAACUCCUACGGGAGGCAGCAGCAGGGAAUAUUGGGCAAUGAGCGAAAGCUUGACCCAGCGACGCCGCGUGGGUGAUGAAGGCCUUCGGUCUUAAAGCCUUUCUAAGGAAUGAAGGAUUAUAUCCUGAAUAAGAAUAUAAUCUUGACAGUACCUUAGGAAUAAGCUCCAGCCAACU
This 502-nucleotide ribosomal RNA is filed under the name uncultured bacterium. RNAcentral's name for it is "bacterial SSU rRNA". It matches the Rfam family "Bacterial small subunit ribosomal RNA", at positions 28 to 502 of the family's 1533-position model. The record is from RNAcentral.